GAUGAACGCUGGCGGCGUGCUUAACACAUGCAAGUCGAACGGACUCAUAUUGAAACCUAGUGAUGUAUGAGUUAGUGGCGGACGGGUGAGUAACGCGUGGAGAACCUGCCGUAUACUGGGGGAUAACACUUAGAAAUAGGUGCUAAUACCGCAUAAGCGCACAGCUUCGCAUGAAGCAGUGUGAAAAACUCCGGUGGUAUACGAUGGAUCCGCGUCUGAUUAGCUUGUUGGCGGGGUAAAGGCCCACCAAGGCGACGAUCAGUAGCCGGCCUGAGAGGGUGAACGGCCACAUUGGGACUGAGACACGGCCCAA
RNAcentral lists this ribosomal RNA (313 nucleotides) under uncultured bacterium. RNAcentral describes it as "bacterial SSU rRNA". It matches the Rfam family "Bacterial small subunit ribosomal RNA", at positions 28 to 334 of the family's 1533-position model. The record is from RNAcentral.